RNAcentral lists this ribosomal RNA (448 nucleotides) under uncultured bacterium. RNAcentral's name for it is "partial 16S ribosomal RNA". It matches the Rfam family "Bacterial small subunit ribosomal RNA", at positions 328 to 792 of the family's 1533-position model. The record is from RNAcentral.
CUCCCAGACUCCUACGGGAGGCAGCAGUGGGGAAUAUUGCACAAUGGGGGAAACCCUGAUGCAGCAACGCCGCGUGAGUGAGGAAGUCUUUCGGUAUGUAAAGCUCUAUCAGCAGGGAAUAGAAAAGAAGGUACCUGAAAAAGAAGCCCCGGCUAACUACGUGCCAGCAGCCGCGGUAAUACGUAGGGGGCAAGCGUUAUCCGGAUUUACUGGGUGUAAAGGGGGCGCAGACGGCAGCGCAAGCCAGGAGUGAAAGCCCGGGGCCCAACCCCGGGACUGCUCUUGGAACUGCGCGGCUGGAGUGCAGGAGGGGCAGGCGGAAUUCCUGGUGUAGCGGUGAAAUGCGUAGAUAUUAGGAGGAACACCAGUGGCGAAGGCGGCUUACUGGACUGUAACUGACGUUGAGGCUCGAAAGCGUGGGGAGCAAACAGGAUUAGAUACCCGUGUA